RNAcentral lists this unclassified non-coding RNA (2518 nucleotides) under Hevea brasiliensis (rubber tree). The record is from RNAcentral. Lineage: Eukaryota; Viridiplantae; Streptophyta; Magnoliopsida; Malpighiales; Euphorbiaceae.
GUAAACGAUUAUAUGCGACAAAUGAACCUCAUGUAGGGAAGGGAAUGCAAGAUGAAAGUAAAAUUUCCCCCUCGUUUUAAAAGAUACCCCUUGCCAUAUUGAAUAUAAGAACCUAAAUACCACCCACAGCCACAUGAUAAGUAAUUUUUUGAAUGGGCGAAAUCAUGUGGGUACCAAGAUUUGAUUUUUAAUUAUACAUUACAAUAAAAAUAUAUUCCCUAUUUUAAGAAAGCGAAACCCUAAAUUUGAAAAUAAGAGCGCCAAAAAGUGUCAAAUUGGGGUGUUGUGACAUGAAAAAUGUAAUAAACAUUCUAUUUUUAUCAAAGCUUCUAUAUGCAUCCAAACAAAAACAUGACCCACUCAAUCAAUCACCAACAAAUCACCCCUUUGCCACCUCACCCAAGUCAUUUGACCCGCCAAACCCACGCGUGCGGCUCCGGACCCGCUUCAGCUCCUCCACCACCUCCCUCGAAUCCGGCCUAUCAUCCUUAUCCGCCGCCACGCAUCGGAAUGCCAGCUCCGCCACCGCAUAUACGCUCUCAUUCCCCUCCCCCUCCACAGCCAAUACUGGGUCCACUACCUGAUGGAGCUGACCCAUUUGGAUCUUGGAUACUACUAGAUCAGCCAACGCCAUUUCUCUCUUGUCUCUGCUCUGAUCCACCGCUUUCAACCCUGAAAUUAGCUCUAAUAACACCACUCCGAAACUGUACACGUCGCUCUUCUCUGUCAACCUGAAGGACCGGUGGUAAUCCGGGUCCAAGUACCCGGGCGUGCCCUGAGGUCCGGUCCAUACAUACCCAGAUGAAGACGAUGACGUUUCCGGGAAAACCAGGAGCCUUGAGAGUCCAAAGUCCCCGACUUUGAUUCUCAUAUCUUUCUCAACAAAAAUGUUUGACGAUGUUAUAUCUCUGUGAACAACCGCCGGCUGAACCGCGAAAUGCAAGUACUCCAGAGCUAGAGCCGUUUGCAAUGCAAUAUCAAUCCUCACUUGCCAUGUUAAAGACGCUUUGCGGCGCAAGCUCUUCGGGCCAUGGAGGUGGUCGGCUAGAGUGCCAUUAGGGACAUAGUCGUACACUAGAAGUAACCCUCUCGGGUCGCUGCAGUAUCCGUGAAGCUUAACGAGAUUUGGGUGAUCUAUUGAAGAUAAUAUCAGGAUUUCAUUGCAGAAUGACUUGGUAGAGAAUGCUCUGCUAGCGGCGGCGGCAUUGUGUUGUUUGUGCAGGUAUUUAACAGCAACGAUUCGACCAUCGUAGAGAUGGCCCAAGAAUACGGACCCGAAACCACCAUCACCAAUUUUGCGCUUUGGGUCGAAGCGGUUGGUGGAGGAUUCCAGCUCCUCGUAGGUGAAUACGGGAGGAAGCAGACUAGCAGAGCGGUAGCGGUGAAGGAAUAGUGUUGUUGGGUCUUCUUGUGUUGCUAACGAUCUCAAGCGCCUGGACCUGUAAAUCGCUGCAACAACCAAAAUGACGAGUAGUAAACACAGUACUGUGAAGAUUGAACACAAAAUGGCAAUUCGAUUAGCAUCAUCUUCGCGAAUCCAAGGAGGUGAGAAGCGAGAUCUAGGCUGAAAACAGAGGAAUCCCUUUUCUGGGUCUGACGAAUUGAAGCCGCAAACUCCAUUCUUGGAUUUGCAGUCUCUGCAGUUUGAGAAGUAAGAAUCUUGAAAUUCAUCAUACUCAACCUGGAGACCAAUCGUUAACAACUUGUCAAGAAAGCCUAGAAUGUCAUAUUGACAGCCCUGCCCGGAGAGAGGGCGGUGAGUAGAUCCACAACCAUGGAGGAGUUGAGCGGGGUUCUUGAUGAGCUUGCAUUCCCAGGGACAAUGACUGCAAUUGGGGAGAUUUGGGAAGGAACAAGAGCGAACAACAGAGAGGCGAGCGCAGUCAGAGUCAGAAAAUCGAAAUGGCGAACCAGAGAGAUUGAUGGAUUGGGCAGGAAUGGAAAGAGAAGAACAAUUGGUUUGAGUCGAUGUUUUGGUGGGUGUAAAGGAGUGGGUUUGGGGAGAGAGAGUGAGAGAAGAAGAGUUAGGUUCGAAGCGUAUGAGAUAGAAAGAAAGAUUGUUAAUGGAGAUGAUGGAGUAAGGGGAAGAGCAUUUCAGUUGGAAGGAAGGGUGACCACAACCGGGCGAUAUAGAGAAGGGAAAAGGAGGAGCAGAUGGGAAUGGAGGACAAGAAGAUCUGGAAAAUGCUUCAGGUUUGAAAGCACAAGCUUGACCACCAGCUAAAAUGGCAUUCAGAGAAAACACUAGGAGUAGGAAAAAGACAGCGGAGGAAAGGGGUGAGGGUGGUUGAGGCAUUGAGGAAGAGAGAAAGCAUAACAAUAUUCAUCAACAAAAGAAAGAGGAAACAAGCGAUUUUUUUGAUCUGAAGAGUGAAGAGAGAAGGAGGGAGGAGAGAAAGGGAUUCACGUGAAGAGUGAAGACAAAAACAACUCGAAAGGGGUGAGAACCUGCGACGCGAGGGCCAAGGUGUUUUGAAAAUUGCUUUAGGAGUCUAAAAAUCUGAAAGAGAAAGAGACA